This 61-nucleotide transfer RNA is filed under the name Charonias eurytele. RNAcentral describes it as "tRNA-Leu". Lineage: Eukaryota; Metazoa; Arthropoda; Insecta; Lepidoptera; Pieridae. The record is from RNAcentral.
UGUGACAGAUAAGAUGUAAUGGAUUUAAACCCCAUGAAUAAAGGAUUUCCUUUCCUUAGAA